Molecule: ribosomal RNA, 398 nt
Filed under: uncultured bacterium
Lineage: Bacteria
Description: partial 16S ribosomal RNA
Rfam family: Bacterial small subunit ribosomal RNA
Source: RNAcentral
CCUACGGGCGGCAGCAGUGAGGAAUAUUGGUCAAUGGCCGGAAGGCUGAACCAGCCAAGCCGCGUGAAUGACGAAGGUGUCAAGCAUGGUAAACUCUUUUUGUCAAGGGACAAAUUCAGGUUCGUGAGUCUGACCGAGGGUACUUGAAGAAAAAGCAUCGGCAAACUCCGGGCCAGCAGCCGCGGUAAUACGGAGGAUGAGGGCGUUAUACGGAUUUAUUGGGUUUAAAGGGUGGGUAGGGGGGCUGUUAAGCUGGCGCUAAAAGCCAGGGGCUCAACCCCGGCGAGCCGUUGAAACUGGGUGUCUUGAGAGGAGGAGAGGUAUGCGGAAUGCGCAGUGUAGCGGUGAAAUGCUUAGAUAUUGGGAAGAACUCCAAUGGCGAAGGCGGCGUACCGGCG